UACGAAGGUCCCGAGCGUUAUCCGGAUUUAUUGGGUUUAAAGGGUGCGUAGGCGGGUUAUUAAGUCAGUGGUGAAAGCCUUCAGCUCAACUGAAGAACUGCCAUUGAUACUGAUGAUCUUGAGUACGAUUGAGGUAGGCGGAAUGUGUCAUGUAGCGGUGAAAUGCUUAGAUAUGACACAGAACACCGAUGGCGAAGGCAAUCCCCUGGACCUGUACUGACGCUCAUGCACGAAAGCGUGGGGAGCAAACAGG
This 253-nucleotide ribosomal RNA is filed under the name uncultured bacterium. RNAcentral's name for it is "partial 16S ribosomal RNA". It matches the Rfam family "Bacterial small subunit ribosomal RNA", at positions 524 to 776 of the family's 1533-position model. The record is from RNAcentral.